UGGCAGAGGCGGCCUAUGCAACGUUGCUGGGGUAGCGGAUCCGCCUAUUCAUUGAUCUGAUAAGGGUGUCUUUCAUAUGGGGGUGAAUUUCUUUACAAGACUGGAUAACACCCGCAGCAAAAGCAGACGAGCAUUGCUCCAGAUGAAAUGGACUGUAGGUCCGUUGAAUUCAUGGACCUUUACGAGCAAGACUAUUGUAAGCGUAAUCCCAAAUGAAAAUAAUGGAUUAGAAUCUGCUCGUCGUGCGGUUGAAUUUUUACGAAUACUGAUCCAUACAGAUAACUGCAGCAGAUCUGAUGUAAAUACCAAAUCCUAUCUGUAUAUAUAAUAUAUAUAUAUAUAUAUAUGUAUAUAUCGUAUAUGCCUAAGAGCACACGUGGACACGUGGACAAUAAUAUUGGAUUGUACUGUGCUAAAAUAAUAUAUAGAUAUAAAAUCGUAAAAUAAAUGUUAUCUCUGGAUUUGGAGAAAAUCCAAUAAGAGUAUAAAAAGUUUUAAGCAUAAAAGUGGAUGAUACUAUCUUUUAUGCAGAUGGAGGACGAACAUUAAUAAUUACAUCUUUAUGAUACAUAUGAAGAAAAUUGAAAGAGUAUGGUAUUGGUUCAGAGGAAAGGUUUAAUCGAUUGGGAAAUUCGAUAUAACGUUUUACAAUUUGUAUAUAAAUAUCUCAUUCGAUUCUGCAGUCUCGAGAGCGUGUUAAUUCGCGUAAUCGGGUUUUCUACAUCAGAUAUAGGAAAAAGGAUCCGUAAGUGUUUCUGGAGGGUGUAUCCCGCCCUAUUUCUACAGUGGCACCCCAUGGAUCUACGAUUCUCCAUGGUGCAUCCCUGACCCGGUAUAUUCCGUGUCUAACACCUGGUCCGAGCGACCCCCUGGAAAACGCCCCUAGAACAUCCUGGUACCUACUAGAAGGAUGGGACAGCUUUAAGUGUCUAUUAAUUUAUACCCAGCAGGAGUGUGAAAUCGAUUUACUGAUGUUCAUCAUGUAUUCCCUUGAUGGUCCAGGUAUACGAGAUCUAUAUAAUACCGGGUGUCAUUCAAUGAAACAGACCAAUCCCCAUAUUUAUGGAUGAAACAACCCCAGAGUACAAGUGAUAAGCAGUAAAUUAGUCUCGUGCUUUUCCCGACACGAGAAACACUCUGUUGUUUCUCAACAUUCAUCAUUAGAACAAUGACGUGCCGCAAUAACAAAUCGAUUUGCAGGGGUGGCCCUGCAAGAAUACACGAGGGUGCAUUGGAGCGUAGAGUGUUUUGGGGUCGUGCCCCAUCAAGCCCUUAGGGGGUUGUACCGUGUAACAGGGUAUUCCGGAAUACACGUAGGGGCGACACCGCAGGGCACAUCAACCGCAUACCGGAAAUCCUAGCACGAUACCGGAUAUGCGAGUGUAUAUUAGACAGGUGGCGAAGAAUAUUUAUAGGUAAAAACUCAUUUUUCUGUUUGGCCCAUGCAAAAUUUUCUUUACGAUCACUUAAUUAGCGUACGAGCUAAUCAACCUGAUUGAUUAUCAAAAUUAUUCGUCAAGGGGACGAUCGAGUGUCUGUUACGGGCUGAAAAGGUUUGCAGUGCCAUUGCUAGCCCUCUAAUAAAUUAUGGCUGGUGAUAAGAACAGGAUAGAUAAACGUUUAGAUAACUUUAUCAUGAAUUUCGAAUAGAUAUGAUCUUCUUGGACCCACUAUGUACGGCAUUCUAAUUCUAUUCAUGGCUCAUUAGAUGAAUAUUGAGGCUGUAUACAGAUAGGGGUACAAUGCGAAUUUUCCACCCUGGAAAAAUCAUACUCUAUUAUUAUGCGUUAUUAUAGAGAGGAUAUUAUGACGUGUUUAUUUAUGGUUUUUUCUAUGGGGUUUGUCAUAUGUGCCAGAUGGGUGAUUCGAUAGCCGUAUACAUUAAAUAGUUAUUUUGCUUGGUCACUUCCGUUUCGUGCAGUUCGGUUUAACCCCUGGACUGCACCCUGAACCCUGUGGAUAUUUAA
Cephus cinctus (wheat stem sawfly) is the source of this 1967-nucleotide long non-coding RNA. RefSeq lists it as uncharacterized. The record is from RefSeq and is a predicted model, not a curated record. The transcript has 3 exons. Lineage: Eukaryota; Metazoa; Arthropoda; Insecta; Hymenoptera; Cephidae.